UACAGAGGUCCCAAGCGUUGUUCGGAUUCACUGGGCGUAAAGGGUGCGUAGGCGGUCAUUUAAGUCUGACGUGAAAUCUCCGGGCCUAACCCGGAAACUGCGUUGGAAACUAUCUGACUAGGGGAAUGGAGGGGAGACUGGAAUACUUGGUGUAGCAGUGAAAUGCGUAGAUAUCAAGUGGAACACCAGUGGCGAAGGCGAGUCUCUGGACAUUUCCUGACGCUGAGGCACGAAAGCCAGGGGAGCAAACGGG
This 253-nucleotide ribosomal RNA is filed under the name uncultured bacterium. RNAcentral's name for it is "partial 16S ribosomal RNA". It matches the Rfam family "Bacterial small subunit ribosomal RNA", at positions 524 to 776 of the family's 1533-position model. The record is from RNAcentral.